This 207-nucleotide ribosomal RNA is filed under the name uncultured bacterium. RNAcentral describes it as "partial 16S ribosomal RNA". It matches the Rfam family "Bacterial small subunit ribosomal RNA", at positions 568 to 774 of the family's 1533-position model. The record is from RNAcentral.
CGCGUAGGCGGUUCGCUAAGUCGGAUGUGAAAACUCUGGGCUCAACCCAGAGCCUGCAUCUGAAACUGGCGGGCUAGAGUUCUGGAGGGGGUAGCGGAAUUCCUGGUGUAGCGGUGAAAUGCGUAGAUAUCAGGAGGAACACCGGUGGCGAAGGCGGCUACCUGGACAGAAACUGACGCUGAGGCGCGAAAGCUAGGGGAGCAAACA